RNAcentral lists this ribosomal RNA (516 nucleotides) under uncultured bacterium. RNAcentral describes it as "bacterial SSU rRNA". It matches the Rfam family "Bacterial small subunit ribosomal RNA", at positions 38 to 564 of the family's 1533-position model. The record is from RNAcentral.
GGCGGCGUGCUUAACACAUGCAAGUCAAGGGGGCCCAGCAAUGGGCAACCGGCGAACGGGUGCGUAACACGUGAGCAACCUACCCAGGUGUGGGGGAUAGCCGUCCCAACGGACGGGUAAUACCGCAUACGCUCUUCUUUAGGCAUUUAGAGAAGAGGAAACCUUCGGGGCACCAUGAGGGGCUCGCGGCCUAUCAGCUAGUUGGCGAGGUAACGGCUCACCAAGGCUACGACGGGUAGCUGGUCUGAGGGGAUGGCCAGCCACAUUGGGACUGAGAAACGGCCCAGACUCCUACGGGAGGCAGCAGUGGGGAAUCUUGCGCAAUGGCCUAACGGCUGACGCAGCGACGCCGCGUGAGGGAUGACGCUCUUCGGAGUGUAAACCUCUUUUGCCCGGAACGAAUUGCCACCAUCAGGUGGCUUGACGGUACCGGUUGAAUAAGCACCGGCUAACUCCGUGCCAGCAGCCGCGGUAAUACGGGGGGUGCGAGCGUUGUCCGGAAUCACUGGGCGUAAA